UAAGACGAACCGUGCGAACGUUAUUCGGAAUCACUGGGCUUAAAGCGCGUGUAGGCGGGCGGGUGCGUCGGCCGCUGAAAGCCCCCGGCUCAACCGGGGAAGCGGCGCCGAUACGGCCGGCCUGGAGGGGGGUAGGGGGACCUGGAACUUCCGGUGGAGCGGUGAAAUGCGUUGAGAUCGGAAGGAACGCCCGUGGCGAAAGCGAGGUCCUGGACCCUUUCUGACGCUGAGACGCGAAAGCCAGGGGAGCGAACGGGA
RNAcentral lists this ribosomal RNA (258 nucleotides) under uncultured prokaryote. RNAcentral describes it as "partial 16S ribosomal RNA". It matches the Rfam family "Bacterial small subunit ribosomal RNA", at positions 521 to 777 of the family's 1533-position model. The record is from RNAcentral.